UACGUAGGGUGCAAGCGUUAAUCGGAAUUACUGGGCGUAAAGCGUGCGCAGGCGGUUUUGUAAGUCUGUCGUGAAAUCCCCGGGCUUAACCUGGGAAUGGCCAUGGAAACUGGCGAACUGGAGUGCGGCAGAGGGGGGUGGAAUUCCGCGUGUAGCAGUGAAAUGCGUAGAGAUGCGGAGGAACACCGAUGGCGAAGGCAGCCCCCUGGGCUAGCACUGACGCUCAGGCACGAAAGCGUGGGGAGCAAACAGG
This 253-nucleotide ribosomal RNA is filed under the name uncultured bacterium. RNAcentral describes it as "partial 16S ribosomal RNA". It matches the Rfam family "Bacterial small subunit ribosomal RNA", at positions 524 to 776 of the family's 1533-position model. The record is from RNAcentral.